GAGAGAGUGCAAAUGAGGGCAAAGAGGGUCCCCAGGGCUGGACUUGUUCAAACCUUAGAAUAACUCACAGGAUCAAGAGGUCUAAAAUAGGAGACAGAGAACAGAACAAAAGCAAAAUCUGGAAGCAAAUUACAGAAAUGUAUUUAGUUUGUUAUUUAGUGAGAUUUUGGCUUGCUGAAAUGUCUGUAUAAGCAUUAUUAUCGAUAUAUUUGAUAAUGAGUGCCAUGCUUAGCCUACUAAUGAGUAUAAUUAAUGUAGAUCAUGCCUAUUUGGGAGUGAAGCCUGGCAUCUUCUUUUUGGAAGACUAAAGGUUUUAGUAAAAGUAGAAAUUCUGUUUUGUCUAGUAUCAAUGCUAUCAACCAAAAUUAAGGGAGUAUAAAAUAGCUAGCUAGAUAACUGAGGCUUAGUGAUGUAACUGGAUGAUUUAGUGGUUUAGAAUUUGUUGGGUUUUGGAUUUAUAGUGCCUGGGUUCAAAUCUUGGAAUUCCUACCUGAGGAACUUCAGCUGGAGUAAGGUGAAUCAUAACCAUCUGUUGUAAAUGGAAGAAUGGCCCCGGGGAAAAACAAUGUGGAACAGUGGGAAGGAGAAUGGAAAAUAGAAGCAAGCUGAUCCCUUGGUUGCUUCCUGUAAGAGAUUAAAGAGGAGGGAAAGAAAACAAGAGAAGAUGAGAGGACCCAGACAACCUCAGUGAAACAGAAUGGUGACAUAAGAGAGGAGAAAAAGUAUUGGUUUUCAUUUCAAGACAGGUAUGUACUGUUAUUACCAUCAUUUUAUGAUAAGAAGACUGAAUCUCAGAGAUCACUCUGAGGCCAAACAGUCCAGCUUCACAUUAUAAGUGAAAGUUCAUUAUGACCUAAUCCUGACCUAUCAGAGAACAAAACCACAAGAGAAUGAAUUUAUACCAUCUCUUGGCAAAAAUGGGAUCAAGGAUGAUAAGGCAAGAAGGCCCUUGCUUAUGCUGACACUGUGAACUUGGACUUUGAAGACUCCAGAACUGAGG
Heterocephalus glaber (naked mole-rat) is the source of this 1000-nucleotide long non-coding RNA. The record is from Ensembl. NCBI's taxonomy places the organism in Eukaryota, Metazoa, Chordata, Mammalia, Rodentia, Bathyergidae.